GAUGAACGCUGGCGGCGUGCCUAAUACAUGCAAGUCGAGCGAACAGACGAGGAGCUUGCUCCUCUGACGUUAGCGGAGGACGGGAGAGUAACACGUGGAUCACCUCCCUAUCAUACUGGGAUAACUUCGGGAAACCGGCGCUAAUACCGGAUAAUAUAUUGAACCGCAUGGUUCAAUAGUGAAAGUCGGUUUUGCUGUCACUUAUAGAUGGAUACGCGCCGGAUUAGAUAGUUGGUAAGGUAAAGGCUUACCAAGGCAACUAUGCGUAGCCGACCUGAGAGGGGGAUCGGCAACACUGGAACUUAGACACGUUCCAAGCUCCUACGGUAGGCAGCAGUAGGGAAUCUUCCGCAGUGGUGGAAAGCAUGGCGGAGCACCGCCGCGUGAGUGAUGAAGAUCUUGGGAUCGUAAUACUCUGUUAUUGGGGAUAAACAGAUGUGGAAGUAACUAUGAACGUCUUGACGGUACCUAAUCAGAAAGCCACGGCUAACUACGUG
This 497-nucleotide ribosomal RNA is filed under the name uncultured bacterium. RNAcentral describes it as "partial 16S ribosomal RNA". It matches the Rfam family "Bacterial small subunit ribosomal RNA", at positions 28 to 507 of the family's 1533-position model. The record is from RNAcentral.